GAUGAACGCUGGCGGCGUGCCUAAUACAUGCAAGUCGAGCGAACGGACGAGAAGCUUGCUUCUCUGAUGUUAGCGGCGGACGGGUGAGUAACACGUGGAUAACCUACCUAUAAGACUGGGAUAACUUCGGGAAACCGGAGCUAAUACCGGAUGAUAUUUUGAACCGCAUGGUUCAAAAGUGAAAGACGGUCUUGCUGUCACUUAUAGAUGGAUCCGCGCUGCAUUAGCUAGUUGGUAAGGUAACGGCUUACCAAGGCAACGAUGCAUAGCCGACCUGACAGGGUGAUCGGCCACACUGGAACUGAGACACGGUCCAGACUCCUACGGGAGGCAGCAGUAGGGAAUCUUCCGCAAUGGGCGAGAGCCUGACGGAGCAACGCCGCGUGAGUGAUGAAGGUCUUCGGAUCGUAAAACUCUGUUAUUAGGGAAGAACAUAUGUGUAAGUAACUGUGCACAUCUUGACGGUACCUAAUCAGAAAGCCACGGCUAACUACGUG
RNAcentral lists this ribosomal RNA (497 nucleotides) under uncultured bacterium. RNAcentral's name for it is "partial 16S ribosomal RNA". It matches the Rfam family "Bacterial small subunit ribosomal RNA", at positions 28 to 507 of the family's 1533-position model. The record is from RNAcentral.